UCGAGGGGCAGCACGGUAGCAAUACUGGGUGGCGACCGGCGCACGGGUGCGUAACGCGUAUGCAACCUACCUUUAACAGGGGAAUAGCCCGGAGAAAUCCGGAUUAAUGUCCCAUAAUAUUCACUGUGGACAUCCACUAUGAAUUAAAGUACCAACGGUUAAAGAUGGGCAUGCGUGGCAUUAGCUAGUUGGUGAGGUAACGGCUCACCAAGGCGACGAUGCCUAGGGGUUCUGAGAGGAUUAUCCCCCACACUGGUACUGAGACACGGACCAGACUCCUACGGGAGGCAGCAGUGAGGAAUAUUGGUCAAUGGACGCAAGUCUGAACCAGCCAUGCCGCGUGCAGGAUGACGGCCCUAUGGGUUGUAAACUGCUUUUGUUUGGGAAGAAACUCUCGUACGAGUACGGGAUUGACGGUACCAGGCGAAUAAGCAUCGGCUAACUCCGUGCCAGCAGCCGCGGUAAUACGGAGGAUGCAAGCGUUAUCCGGAUUUAUUGGGUUUAAAGGGUGCGUAGGCGGAAUAAUAAGUCAGUGGUGAAAUACCCCGGCUCAACCGGGGAACUGCCAUUGAUACUGUUAAUCUAGAGUAUAUUUGAUGUGGGCGGAAUGUAGCAUGUAGCGGUGAAAUGCUUAGAUAUGCUACAGAACACCGAUUGCGAAGGCAGCUCACUAAACUAUAACUGACGCUGAGGCACGAAAGCGUGGGGAGCAAACAGGAUUAGAUACCCUGGUAGUCCACGCUGUAAACGAUGAUCACUCGUUGUUGGCGAUAUACAGUCAGCGACUGAGCGAAAGUAUUAAGUGAUCCACCUGGGAAGUACGAU
RNAcentral lists this ribosomal RNA (825 nucleotides) under uncultured bacterium. RNAcentral describes it as "SSU rRNA". It matches the Rfam family "Bacterial small subunit ribosomal RNA", at positions 62 to 886 of the family's 1533-position model. The record is from RNAcentral.